Molecule: ribosomal RNA, 305 nt
Filed under: uncultured bacterium
Lineage: Bacteria
Description: partial 16S ribosomal RNA
Rfam family: Bacterial small subunit ribosomal RNA
Source: RNAcentral
ACAGCAGCCGCCGCGGGAAUACAGAGGGUGCGAGCGUUAAUCGGAUUUACUGGGCGUAAAGCGUGCGUAGGCGGCUUUUUAAGUCGGAUGUGAAAUCCCUGAGCUUAACUUAGGAAUUGCAUUCGAUACUGGGAAGCUAGAGUAUGGGAGAGGAUGGUAGAAUUCCAGGUGUAGCGGUGAAAUGCGUAGAGAUCUGGAGGAAUACCGAUGGCGAAGGCAGUUAUCUGACCUAAUACUGACGCUGAGGUACGAAAGCAUGGGGAGCAAACAGGAUUAGAUACCCCCGUAGUCCCUGUCUCUUAUAC